GACGAACGCUGGCGGCGUGCCUAAUACAUGCAAGUCGAGCGGACUUGUGGGAGCUUGCUCCCGCAAGUUAGCGGCGGACGGGUGAGUAACACGUGGGCAACCUGCCUAUAAGACUGGGAUAACUUCGGGAAACCGGAGCUAAUACCGGAUAGUUCUUUCCUCCUCAUGGAGGAAAGGGGAAAGAUGGUUUCGGCUAUCACUUAUAGAUGGGCCCGCGGCGCAUUAGCUAGUUGGUGAGGUAACGGCUCACCAAGGCGACGAUGCGUAGCCGACCUGAGAGGGUGAUCGGCCACACUGGGACUGAGACACGGCCCAGACUCCUACGGGAGGCAGCAGUAGGGAAUCUUCCGCAAUGGACGAAAGUCUGACGGAGCAACGCCGCGUGAACGAAGAAGGCCUUCGGGUCGUAAAGUUCUGUUGUUAGGGAAGAACAAGUGCGAGAGUAACUGCUCGCACCUUGACGGUACCUAACCAGAAAGCCACGGCUAACUACGUGCCAGCAGCCGCAGU
This 510-nucleotide ribosomal RNA is filed under the name uncultured bacterium. Its description in RNAcentral is "bacterial SSU rRNA". It matches the Rfam family "Bacterial small subunit ribosomal RNA", at positions 28 to 521 of the family's 1533-position model. The record is from RNAcentral.